RNAcentral lists this ribosomal RNA (653 nucleotides) under uncultured bacterium. Its description in RNAcentral is "bacterial SSU rRNA". It matches the Rfam family "Bacterial small subunit ribosomal RNA", at positions 202 to 842 of the family's 1533-position model. The record is from RNAcentral.
GAAAGGCGCUUUUGCGUCACUGAUGGAUGGACCCGCGGUGCAUUAGCUAGUUGGUGAGGUAACGGCUCACCAAGGCCACGAUGCAUAGCCGACCUGAGAGGGUGAUCGGCCACACUGGGACUGAGACACGGCCCAGACUCCUACGGGAGGCAGCAGUAGGGAAUCUUCGGCAAUGGACGAAAGUCUGACCGAGCAACGCCGCGUGAGUGAAGAAGGUUUUCGGAUCGUAAAACUCUGUUGUUAGAGAAGAACAAGGAUGAGAGUAAAAUGUUCAUCCCUUGACGGUAUCUAACCAGAAAGCCACGGCUAACUACGUGCCAGCAGCCGCGGUAAUACGUAGGUGGCAAGCGUUGUCCGGAUUUAUUGGGCGUAAAGCGAGCGCAGGCGGUUUCUUAAGUCUGAUGUGAAAGCCCCCGGCUCAACCGGGGAGGGUCAUUGGAAACUGGGAGACUUGAGUGCAGAAGAGGAGAGUGGAAUUCCAUGUGUAGCGGUGAAAUGCGUAGAUAUAUGGAGGAACACCAGUGGCGAAGGCGGCUCUCUGGUCUGUAACUGACGCUGAGGCUCGAAAGCGUGGGGAGCGAACAGGAUUAGAUACCCUGGUAGUCCACGCCGUAAACGAUGAGUGCUAAGUGUUGGAGGGUUUCCGCCCUUCA